AUUGAACGCUGGCGGCAGGCCUAACACAUGCAAGUCGAACGAGUGGCGGACGGGUGAGUAAUGUCUGGGAAACUGCCUGAUGGAGGGGGAUAACUACUGGAAACGGUAGCUAAUACCGCAUACCAUCGGAUGUGCCCAGAUGGGAUUAGCUAGUAGGUGGGGUAAAGGCUCACCUAGGCGACGAUCCCUAGCUGGUCUGAGAGGGUGACCAGCCACACUGGAACUGAGACACGGGCCAGACUCCUACGGGAGGCAGCAGUGGGGAAUAUUGCACAAUGGGCGAAAGCCUGAUGCAGCAAUGCCGCGUGGAUGAAGAAGGCCUUCGGGUUGUAAAGUACUUUCAGCGGGGAGGCGUUACCCGAAGAGGAAGCACCGGCUAACUCCGUGCCAGCAGCCGCGGUAAUUC
This 406-nucleotide ribosomal RNA is filed under the name uncultured bacterium. Its description in RNAcentral is "partial 16S ribosomal RNA". It matches the Rfam family "Bacterial small subunit ribosomal RNA", at positions 30 to 526 of the family's 1533-position model. The record is from RNAcentral.